AUCCUCAGGUUCAUAAUCGUGAUGAUUGGGUGUUCAUGCUCCAUGCAUGACAUGUGCCUCCUUUGAACCUUGUUACGACAUUGGCACAUUACCCAUCUGAUG
This 102-nucleotide small nucleolar RNA is filed under the name Cavia porcellus (domestic guinea pig). RNAcentral's name for it is "Small nucleolar RNA U13". It matches the Rfam family "Small nucleolar RNA U13". Lineage: Eukaryota; Metazoa; Chordata; Mammalia; Rodentia; Caviidae. The record is from Rfam by way of RNAcentral.